Molecule: ribosomal RNA, 444 nt
Filed under: uncultured bacterium
Lineage: Bacteria
Description: bacterial SSU rRNA
Rfam family: Bacterial small subunit ribosomal RNA
Source: RNAcentral
GGCGUGGAUAAGACAUGCAAGUCGAACGCUGGUUUGCGGGUAGCAAUAUUUGCAAACUGGAGUGGCGCAAGGGCGUGUAACACGUGGGUAAUCUGCCGUGAAGUCUGGGAUAACUUGCUGAAAGGCGAGCUAAUACCGGAUGUGAAUGUAAAUUCAAAGUUGGGGACCGCAAGGCCUGACGCUUCAUGAUGAGCCCGCGGCCUAUCAGCUAGUUGGUGAGGUAACGGCUCACCAAGGCUAAGACGGGUAGCUGGUCUGAGAGGACGACCAGCCACACUGGAACUGAGACACGGUCCAGACACCUACGGGUGGCAGCAGUCGAGAAUUUUUCUCAAUGGGCGAAAGCCUGAAGGAGCGACGCCGCGUGGGGGAUGAAUGGCUUCGGCCCGUAAAGCCCCUGUCAUUUGUGAACAAAUUGUUUCACCUAACACGGAAAUAUGAUGA